AAACAAGAAACAAUUUGGCUGGGUUAAUCGGAACAAGAGAAUACACAGACACAGACAGACAAGGGAAGAACAAGCACUCCCUUAGAAGUGAUUAUUUUUAAAUA
Long non-coding RNA from Notothenia coriiceps (black rockcod), 104 nucleotides. RefSeq lists it as uncharacterized. The record is from RefSeq and is a predicted model, not a curated record. The transcript is spliced from 3 exons. Lineage: Eukaryota; Metazoa; Chordata; Actinopteri; Perciformes; Nototheniidae.